CUUGCCACCACACGCUUAGGGUCAGUUUUUUUAUGGCUUUUUUAAGCUUCUAGAAUAAACCAAAAUAUUUUUUUUAGAAGCCUACUAGUCAAGCCUUAAAUAAUAGACUUUAAAAAAAUUGUAACAGCUGGAAUAUUUUUUUAGAAGCCUAUUAAUCAAGUUUUAGAAUAAGCCAGCAAAAGAACUGGCCCCUAGACAAGCGUACGUGCAGACGCGUAGUAUAGGUAUCAGUAACAGCUGUACUGCAAGAAUGUAGAGCAACUAGUCCGUGAGUUACGGAUAUGUAACAUCUGAGUUUGAUUACUAUAACGGCUUCAUUGCAAAAUUUUGAGUAUAAUCCUAAUCUCAACAGUGUAGGCCACCAAAAAUAGCUUGCUGACUGACUCAUGGUAUCUCUCGUCAUAUACUGGUCACUAUCAAACAAGCCGAAGCAACAGCCAGGUUUUCUAUCGGAAACCCAUGGUUGCAGAAUGAAAUGAUCCAAUAGCGUAUAUUGGUUAUCCUUCCAGGAGGCCUAGUUCUUGUUGUUCUUCUUCGAAAUUUUUGGGUUCUUGGACAUGCGGAUGCUCUCAGGUGUAACCUCGACUAGCUCAUCUUCUUGAAUAUACUCUAUGCAGUCAUCCAGACUGUAGCUUAAAGGUUCAUCAAGAACCACUGCAAAAAAGAGAAUAAAUUAUUUGAAUUAACCACACUUGAUAAAAAUAAGGUUUCAGUUAAGGUGAAUCUAAGUGUAUAAGGACAUAUCGCUGCAAUAGGGUAUUGGCCCACUUAUCACUUUUCCGAAAGCAUAAUCAAGUUUUAAGUAUGCCCGAGGACAUGUCAACAUUUUCAAUAUACUAAGGCCCCGAUUGGUUCAGCGGAUUGGGGCCAAAUGCCCCGGUGUUUUAUGGAGCCGAAAGAAAAAACAACCCGUCCCAAAAACAGUGCUUGGCAUGUCAUUUAUGUUUUAUUUUGCGCCUGUUUUGUUUCCGUUACGCCCGGAAAGAGUUUUGGAGCCCAGGAGACCCAAUAGAAAUACCAGGAAGCAAAACGAUGGGUAGCUCGAGGGUGCCCAGGACACAAGGAGUAUCCUAAAACUCGGCUCCAUGAUGUGUAGCAUGUGUGUCUCCACAAAAACUUUCAUGGUGACCCGCCGGCCACCCCUGCUGUACUACCCGCCAUUGAGGAUGGUCGUAUGGUGAUCAUUUGCAUUGUCGUUGAUCUACGGACAUUCUAUUACUGCCGAGUAUUCUUUGCCGCCAGCUUCUUGUGAUAUGAUCUUUGGGACAUGCUUCUCUAUCCCUCUUUGGCUUGACUCACAAGUUUUCGAAGACCCCAUGUUAUGACGACACUCUCAAGACGCAGAUUUUAGAUUUUCACUACUUUUUUAUUACUAUCGAAAAAGGCUUUCGCCCCGCUUUAUAUAUAAAGCAACGAUCAUCAACAAUCUAGUACAGACACACGCCAUCACAACACGCGCACACACCCAAGGCAUGAUACAUAGGCGCUGAGCGCAGCAACACCACCCAACACUACAAGGGCAACCAGGGUCUUCAACUAUGAACACGCCACCGCAAAGAGAUGAAGCCACAUACGACGAACCGUGGGCUCCAAGACGCCGCCUUCGGAAAGGUUACGACACCGGAGCAUCGCCACCGCCCCAUCCGAGGAUCAGAGUUUCCCCNNNNNNNNNNNNNNNNNNNNNNNNNNNNNNNNNNNNNNNNNNNNNNNNNNNNNNNNNNNNNNNNNNNNNNNNNNNNNNNNNNNNNNNNNNNNNNNNNNNNAAAGCCUCUGAGGAGCUCCGCGUAUCGCCCUCAACCUCCACAUCGGAAGAAUCAAGCCGGGAGACCACAACACCCUCGCCACCGCCGUCUCCAACCUCCAGACCCGUUGGAUCUCGCGUCACCGAUUCGUCGGCAAGAGGGCCUCCCCGAGCUCGCCGUUGCCCCCAUUCCCCUCGUGGUGAGCCGCAGAGCCCAUUUCUCCUCUCCUCAUGGCCCUCGUGUGCCCCUAGCUAUCCUCCUGGCCGGAACCCGAGCCCCUUGCCGCUGGAAAUGGCGUGGCCGUGGCCACAAUCACCACGGAUCGCGCCCGAGCACUCCCGCGUGCUCCUGGAGCCUCUAUGAUGCUGCCAAGACGCCUAGCUGGUUUCCCCGUGCAGCGCAACACUGAAACCACCAAGUCCCAAACUCCGGCCACCGCAAGGCUCGUCGCCGGUGCCAGAUCCGGCCACCCAAGCUCCUCAUGCCGCCCCUGCCGGACGAGGCGCUUCGCCAACUCAUUGUAGCUGCCAAUCGCGCGCAAAAUGAUGGUAUGUAGCAUCGAUUAGGGCAACUCCGGUGAGCCCCCGCCGCAGAUUUGGUCACCGCUGACCAUACUCCGACGGGCGCCGACAUGGCGUGGUCAUUAGGCCUAAUCGCCCGCCAUCAGGCACUCACGAGCGGGCCCGCGGGUGGUCAAACCUCCAAUCAGGGCGAGUCGGCAUGGGGAUUAGCCCCGGGUCACUAACCAGUGGCCCCCACUAGUCAAGUUUGACCUGGACCGCCCCUGUUGACUGCUGACGCAAGGCUCAUGCAAUAAAACAUUUUCUGGAUUAAAAAUAAAUCAGGAAAUUCCAGAAAAUAUCCAAAACUUUGAAAAUUAAAAGAAACUCAAAGGAAUUUGAUGGAAAAUAAUAGAAAAUGUCUCCAAAUGAAAUAAAUAAUAUUUGAUUUUUGUUAGCAAAAUCAAAGGAAUUUGAUGGAAUCAUUUUCAUGCAUGUUUGAACAAAUUAACUUGAUGGAUAGGACAAUUUCACUAAAGGCAUUUAAAUGCUUAUAAAUGGGUUUAGAAUUGAACUAUAUUGAUCAAAUAACUCCCAAUUAACUUGUGGUCACUUGCAUUAGACAAAAUCACUAACAUGUUAGCAUGCCAUGCUCAUGCAUCAUUGUGAAGCAUUUGCCGUGUUUAAUUUGUUCCUUGUUUGAUCUUGUUGAUAGACUUGUGAGAUGUAGUUAUCACUGACAUCGAAGAACAGCUAAGUUCUUCUGAUCAACACGCAAGCAACCCCCCUUGAGCAUUCCAAUAUAAUCCUACUUUCUCGCUCUUGCUCUCAUUUCAAUGUAUUAGGACAAGAUGAUUCAACAGCUACAUGUGUUACGGUAGAUGAACCCUUUCCUUUGCAUGACCUGUCCUUGUCACAGUAAAUAGCUAAACCAAGCAACCUAGCAUACCUGGGAGAUGCUUCAGCGAUGUUGUGCCAUUACCCUGUUAUGCUUGCUAUGCUUAGAGUUAAGUUGGUCUGAUCAUCUGGAUGAUGAAUUUGAAUGAUCAUGUUCUACUGAUGAGAGUUAAGUGUGUGAACCUGUUUUGGUAAAGGUAGCAAUGAGAGGCCAUGUAGGAGUACAUGGUGAGUUGUCUCGUUGAUGCCGCACUUACGACCCGAGAUCUUGUGUUGGUGUUCUAAGACUCGCUACUACCGCACAUUUGGUUCCGGUAACUCGGCCUCUUGGCCUACUAACUACUCUGUUCUCAGUCCAGGAGUCGCAAUAGUUCGAAACGUUCAUAGGUUGUGGCACAACCUAGUGAGUGGAUGAAUGGACCAAUCGGGACCGGAUUGGGACCCUGCUCACAUCGUUUGAGGCCAUGUUGGAAACCUCGGCCGAACUUCCAUUAUGGGUUCCAACUCAGAUAGGCGACUGCCUUGGAUGUGAGUCAUUGUAGGUUAACAUUAGUGGCUGACUCCCUCGCUGGGCUUCCGCUUGAAGGUUCCCGAGGUGCUUGUUUUAUGUGCACAUGUCGAUAAGUGGCGGGAGCAUGUGUGACGAAGUACACCCCUACAGGGUAAUUAUCUAUUCGAAUAGUCGCGUCCUCGGAAAUGGACUACUUGGAUGCUUGCAUGGUUCAUAGACAACUUUAAUGGAUACUCUAAAAAUGGUCCAGAUAAGUGUGAGUGUUAUGGAUGGCCUUCUCGUAGGAGGACGAGAGAGGAUCCAUGGUGGUGUAUUUAUGUGGUGAAUAUGUGGACUCGUGUACGCUCUCUCGUAGGGAGAGGAGAGAGGUAUGAUAAACUAUUGUAGUCUAGAUUAGCCAAAGGCCAAAGCUGGCAUUUCUACACUAAACCCCACAAUCCCAUCCAUUGAUAUAUGAUGCAUAUGUAGUCAGUUCUGAUGUAAGUCUUGCCGAGUACCUUCGUACUCACUGUUGCUUAUUACAUUUUUGCAGAGAUAGACGUUGUUCACUUUACGUUUUCCUCUUGAUGUUGACAUCGAUGGAAUAGGUUGGGAACCCAGAUAGUGGUCUGGCUCCUAUGCUAGGGUGGAUGUAGCUUAUCAGGCUCUUCCACCCGCUUUUAGUAGAUGUCUGUACCCAGACAUGUAACUUCGGCAUGUUGUUUGUAUGCACUGAAUGUUGGGUCAUGUAACCCCCUAUUUGUAACAUUAUACUAUGUUGGCUCCUCGGAGUCUAUUAAAUAAAUGAUGUGUUGUAGAGUUAUGUUGUGAUGCCAUGUUGUAUCUACACAUAUCGUGCAUAGUGUGUGUACGUUUGAAAUGCAUUGGUAUGUGUGGGAUUUGACACCUAGUUGUGUGCCUAUGGUAGCCUGCUCUACAAGAAAAUUCCUCUUUGUGCUUCCACUGAGCCUUGGUAGCUUGCUACUGCUCCGGACAUAUUGAUUGGCCGACAUGUAUCCUUCUUUUCUACUGUGUCUGUCCCUUCGGAGAAAUGUCACACGGUGUAAUGGAGUCCAAGUAGCUUGCUACGACUCGUCUACACACACUGGUGACCGACUCCUGCUUUGCGGGGUUAUGUAUGCAUUUUCUUGUAUGGUCGUGCCACUUGGGUCUAUAACUAGUCAUGUCGACCCGGGUUCUCUGUCGUUCGAAUGUUGGCGACAUAUACACAUACGUGAGCCAAAAGAUGCAAACGGUCCCAACCUAGGUAAGGUGGCAGUCGUGGAGUUAUCCGUGCGUGAGGCGGCAAAGCGAUGUGUUAUGUUAUAGAUUCGGUUCUUAUGACUUAGGAUCAGGGUCCCGACAUCGUCGGUAUCANNNNNNNNNNNNNNNNNNNNNNNNNNNNNNNNNNNNNNNNNNNNNNNNNNNNNNNNNNNNNNNNNNNNNNNNNNNNNNNNNNNNNNNNNNNNNNNNNNNNACUCAACUUUGUACUAACUUUAGUACAAAGUUAGUACAAAGUUGAGUCACUUAUUUUGGGACGGAGGGAGUAUAUAUUUACUCUUAUAACAUGUUCUGAAAAAAGUUUUGUUUGAACUUUGCAGAUUGGGGAAACUAUAGCUGAUAAAGUUUCUGGAACAGCGUUGCCCACUAUCAAAAUUGAGGAACCAACAGUUAGAAUGUCUUUCUCCAUCAACACUUCACCUUUUGUUGGAAAAGAGGUAUCUCAAAAGUUAACUUUAACUUACAACGUUUUAUCCUUAAGUUUUUGGAUCUUCUGCUGGAAUAAAAAGAGAUUUAAAAACUGGCCAAGAGAAUCUUAAUUAUAAACACUUUUGUUCCAAAUGAGAGUAAUGUUUGUACUGCACAUGGUAUGACCACGUAGGUGAGCUAAAUAGAAGUAGUGCUACUCUUUCCUGAAAGUGAAAUGCUUAGGAACUUGAAGUCAGUGUAUUACACAGAUGUAAACUUUACUCCAUUGUGUUCCAACGUGGUGGAAAACGAUCCAUUAAUUAUUGUAACUCUUUUGUCGAGUUAAAUGACCUAUUCUCAUUCAAUACUUUACAGUAAAGUACAGUAGUUGAGUUUCUUCUUUCUUAAUCCUGAAACUAUGUCUUUCCCUUUGGUUUAUCCCAGGGGAAAUUCGUCACUAGCCGAAAUCUCCGUGAUAGGCUAUAUCGUGAGCUUGAAAGGAACUUGGCUAUGAAAGUAGAAGAUGGGGAAACUGCUGAUACAUUUCUUGUCAGUGGCAGAGGCACACUGCACCUCACCAUAUUGAUAGAGAACAUGUAAGAAUUACUAUCCUAUUGACAUUAUCCACCACUUGGUAUGUUUUCUAAUUUUGGUAUUGUCUUUAAAACAAAAUAAUUGCUUACAGGCGGAGGGAAGGAUAUGAGUUUAUGAUCGGACCUCCAAAGGUCAUAAACAAGACAGUAAAUGGAAAGCUAUUGGAGCCGUAUGAGGUAUUUCCCUCCCUAAAUGGCAGAACUGAAUUUUUGUAUAUUUUUGAUUUGAUAGGUAUGUUCCCAUGCGUUGUCACGGGAGACGUAAGUUUAUAAUGUAUAAAGGCUAGGUCUGUGUUAAGGUGGAAGUGGACGUAAUUCCACCUUAUAUAGGGACAGGCAGGAAGAACCUGUUAGAGUUAUAAUAUAAGUCAUGUACCCUUUUGUAUUUAUCCCAAUAUAUAAGGGGUUUCCUGCAUAUAGUCCAUCACCUGUACAUGUAUAUAUAUCGGCCUAUGGCCUCAUGGGAAUACAAGUUGCAUAUUCCUAACAGAACCCAGGAUUAUAAUUUUGAUUAUGGCUCCAUUAUAAUUUGGUAGCCUGGGUCAUGCAUGCUAAGUAAAUUAACGUGAUUGAGUGGCGUAUGGGAAGGUGUGGUAAAAUAUAUACAUGCGCCACGUAGGCAGAGGUUAAGGGCUACAGACAGAAAUGGCAUUUGCCCUGUAUUUGCAAGUCGGGGUAAGUUUGAGAACAAAAAACGUGUAUUCUACAACUUUAUUAGGUACCAAAGUGACCAUCGAGCGCAAGUUUAGGCACUCCCAGUACAAUUUACCUCUUUUAAUUUCUAAAAGGACUUCUGUGACAUUGAAAUUGCUCUGGGUACAUCUGGAACUCCUUUAUUGUCGGUUUUCAUGUUACUAAUCUGUUCUUAUUACUAUGAUACAGAUCGCUGCUAUAGAGGUUCCAGAGGAAUAUAUGGGAUCAGUUGUCGAGCUAUUGGGGAAAAGGCGUGGACAAAUGCUUGACAUGGAAGCUAGUGGGUUCGUGCUGUACUCUAGAUUAUCCACACUCGAAACAUCUUAGCAUUUUUCUUUGAUACAGAAGAGGAAGAAAUGAAGGCUGUUCCAAUUUAACUAUAUUGCAUGCAUCGUUGCCAGUCUACUACAAAUUGCUUGUUCCUGAUAUUGAAUUGUUGCCAUAACGAGACAUUUCAAAUGGCAGGCCAGAGGGAACUUCAUUGCUGAAAUACAAGGUUCCAACCAGAGGCCUCAUUGGGCUCCGGAAUGCAAUUCUAACAGCUUCUAGGGGCAGAGCUAUACUUAACACAAUCUUUGACAGCUAUGGCCCGUGGGCUGGAGAUAUUAGUUCACGUGAUCAAGGCUCAUUGGUACGAAUAAAUGCCAACCCACAGGAAACACAAAAGAGUUCUUAAGAGAUUGUUUGUUUGUCAUAGUUGACAUAAGCAUGAAGAUUUUUCUUGAAGACAUUUUCUUUCGAAACAGAGUAGUAAGUGGCUGUAGGAAAGUUUAUAAGCUUCCUAUCCUACAAAGUCAAACAAGCUAAAUUUCUCUUUGAGUCGGUUCAUUAAAAUUAAAGGAGGCUAUAGUAGGCAUAUUGUAGGAUCCGAAAUAUGUUUAGAGGGGGUGAUUAGAUUACUUGACCAAAUAAAAAUUUAGUCUUUUCCUAAUUUUAGUUGUGGGCAAGUUUUAGCAAUUGUAGCAAGUCAAGCACACCCUACACAUGCAAAUCUAAGAGUAUAGGAGCGGAAAGCAAAGACAUGCACAUGUAAGUAGAGGGUAGGGAUAGGAAAAUCAAACACAAAGAUUGACACGGAGAUUUUUGGCGUGGUUCGAUAAGUGGUGGUAUCGUAUGUCCACGGUAAUGGAGACUUAAACCCACGGAGGGUAACGGCCGCGAGAGACCAGGGAGUGCUCAACCUACGAAGUGUCCACGGAUAAGCAACAUUGUCUAUUCCAUCAUGGCUUACAUCCACGAAGGGCUAGCCUCAUACGGAGUACAUCUUCACGAAGUAGGCGAUCUCCUUGCCCUUACAAACUUCUUGGUUCAACUCCACAACACGAAGUAGGAGGCUCCCAAGCGACACCUAACCAAUAUAGGAGACACCACUCUUCAAAAGAUAAUAGAUGUGGUAGUAUGAUAAACUCCUUGCUCUUAUGUUUCAAAAGAUAGUCUCCUCAACACUCAAUCACUCUCUCACAGAUUUGAUUUGGGUAGAAGAGAUUGAUUGGGUGGAAAGCAACUUGGGGAGGUUAGAAAUCAAGAUUCAUAUGGUAGGAAUGGAAUAUCUUGAACUCAACACAUGAGUAGGUGACUCUCUCAGAAAAAUGGAUGGUGCAAGGGUUGGUUCGUUCUGAGUGCUUCCUCUACGAAGAGAGGUUGGUGGAGGGGUAUAUAUAGGCAUCUCCAAAAAUCUAACCGUAACAACAUUAUUGCCCAACUCGGUGAAAGCGAAGUAAAAACUCGGUUGCGCCGACUAGUGCAAAAUGUGACAACUUUUGGCGUUUCGGUGAGACCGAUAUAUGAAUCACGGAGGGUCCGAUUUUGGCCGGCCUAGGCAGUUAGCAAACUCGGUGGCACCGAUUUGCAAAACUCGAAAAUUCCGAUUUUAGCAAAUGGCUAACCGGGAGUUGGUCACUGUUUUUCGGUCAGACCGAAACUGGACUUGGUGGUACCGAGACUCUAGGGUUUGGCAUGGGAUCUUUCUAGGGUAUUACUCGGUGGGGCUGAAAUGGAAAACUUGAUGGCACCGAAUUUGACUUUGUGGUUUGGACAGAAUAUCCGUGGGAGAAUUUAAUGAGUAUUUGGGUGGCUAAUCUCUAAGCACUUAAGCAACCAGAUCAUCAUAGUCACCUCAUCCCCUUUUAAUCGUAUUGGUUUUUUUAUGGACUCGAAAGUGAUUUCUCACAAAAUAUAAAAUUUAGAGUCUUCAAGCUUAUUGCCAAUAGAUGUUCCUUGCAUCUAGGGGUUCUCGUCACAAUCCUUAGCCAAUUCGUCAUUGAACUUUUUCUGAAAUAUACUAGAUAGAAUCAUUAGUCCAAUAACAUAUAUGUUGUUAUUAAUUACCAAAACCACCUAGGAAGAAGUUGUGCUUUCACACAUAGGCCAAUAUUGACGAUUUGGUUUCACUUGGUUAAUGAAAAAGAUUAUCACAGGAAUUUAGUUUGAUUCAAUGCAUGGAUGAGUGAUAAAGAAUGAUAACUCCUUAUGACUUGGAAUAACAAUUCUGUAUAAAAUGGAAUGAUAAUUCUGUAUGGCGUGGAAUGAUAAUUCAGAUAGCAGCGUCCUAAUUUGAAGAUCAAUACAAUUGAAAAUCUGCCAAUAGACUACUACAUUAUGCAAUACUAAAGGUAACACGCUGACAUAGAAUUGAAGGUGUUUCACGUAGACUAUGAAUUUGUUUUGUGCUAUUACAGAGAUGGCGUACAACAGGCUGGCCUUGGUGCAGCGGUAAAGCUGUUGCCUUAUGACCAUGAGGUCACGCAGGAAACAACCUCUUGCAGAAAUGUAGGGAAAGUCUACAUACAAAAGGCCUACAAGUGGUCGGACGCUUCCCUAAACCCUAAGCGGGAGCUACGUGCACCGGGUUGCCCUUUUUUAUUACAGAGAUGACGUACACAUGAACAUCCACAUGACAUGCGACAUGCACACACGAGCCCGCCUUCACUGGCUGGAGCUAAGGAACCCUAAGAAUAAAUCUGUGAAUCGCACAAGAUCUGUAUAUAUUGUAUCUUGUAUGAAAGACGUUUCAUUUUAGCAAGUAUAUACAUAGUAAAAUUAGACUACAGAGUUUGCACUGACAACUUUGAAAUCCUAUAGCGUAUCAUUUCAAAUUUUAUGCAUAACAUAAACCGGAGCAUUAGAAACCUAUCUCCAAUACAACAUGUCUCUGCAUAGGCCAAACAUGCUCUAGAAAUUGCAUGGUUAAUUACACGUGUCAUUUUUUCGUUUGGUCCUUCCAGAAACUGAAAAUUAGGAAAUGUCAAACCCAUCAGCUAUAUCUUAAACAUAAUUCUUGUAGGGAACGCCAACUAAUUUUACUAACAGACUGUUUACAAACUUAUCUGCCUACCUAUUGUGCCGAACUUAUUUACCUAGUUUGGCUUACAGUUUUCUUCAACAUCUAACAUAGUGGGAAUGAUCCAGGUGGCAUUCGAAGGUGGAAGUACUACUUCUUAUGCUUGUGUUAAUGCACAAGAAAGAGGUAUACUAUUUGUCAAACCAGGGCAGGAUAUUUACAAAGGCCAGAUAGUUGGUAUCCAUCAGCGACCAGGUGAUUUAGCACUUAAUGUGUGCAAGAAAAAGGCUGCAACAAAUGUUCGUUCGAACAAGGAAACUACAGGUGAAAUUUCAUAAGCAUUCAAUGCUUUGAUAAUAUUAUUUUCUAGAAAGAACUUGGAACAAACUUUAAUCACCCUAGCCCUAAUAGAAAGUAAAUACUCUGAAUUCUCAUGCUUUAUUGAUCGUGGGAGAAGCCCAUUAUAUAGGGGGGUUGCCUUCUUUUUUGAAAGGUCAAGACAGUAGGAAAGGCUCCUCUUGACACUUUAUAUUAAUUUCAGCACUCAGUGCAUGUAGUUACAUCCAGGCCAUCCUCACACCAACCUGCCCUCCACAGUGCCUUUUUUGGGACACUUGAAAGGUAGUUUGUGGAGGCAGGCACACUAUGAAGCUAGUAUUACAAGAGUUCUAGGCUAAGGGUUUUUAGGCAAAUGUGUUUACAAAGUGGGUAAUAAACCCUACGAGAGGAGGUUUAACUCAUGAACCAGGAGGCCAAAAUCUGUCUUGAACCUCUCGUGCCAGCACUGAUACGAUGGCUGGAUCCUCCUGAAAAUUUUAUCAUUACGUUCCUUCCAUAUGCUCCAUGCAGCCGUCAUAAACACUUCCAUGAACAUUCGACGUGUCCAGCGCGCCCUUCCAGAAUGGAUUAUCCGUAGCCUAUCAUCGUCACUGUACCAGUGGAAUACCUUGGGCUGUGAAGACGACUUAGAGGAAAUACAAUGACUCUGAAACGGAUUCUAAUCUGGACUCUGCACCUAAUACGAAUCUGAACCUAAUGAAAUAGCUUAUAGUAGUAUAGGAAUCCUAACCACUUUGAGCUGGAUCAUGGGGUGGUGUGGCCAGGGCUCGGGCCCUCCAACUGAAACGAGGGGAAACACCAAUGUCCUCGUUGUGGCUCCACGCAUAACAGCACGUCCUCGAGCCGAAACGGGGGGAAACAGCAAUGUGUUAGAUGAGCAACUUGGAUGUAUUGCAUAUCCCAAGGUGCAAAUAUAUAGUACAAAUGACUGGGCAUACAAGCAAGGACAUCUGGACUAAUAUGAAUACGCGAGGGGACCUAAACUUACUACUACUCCUUAACAACCCUCCUCAAAUGCAAAGCGUAUGCAAUAACAUUACAUUUGAAGAAGUAUAACACUAAAUCAAAUGGUAGUAUUUUCCCUAAUUAGACCUCGUGUCGCACUCCUCUAGCGAGUCGUGGGGCAAUUCCUCAAGCGCCGCCGCCGGGUCCUCUCCCUUUCCCUUCUCGUCUUGCCGCCGCCGCCGGCGAAGCCCGGGCGAGCUCCAGUGAGGGCGGCGGCGGGGCAUCUCCCUAGGCAACCUCCACCCCUCUCCUCCCCUCCUCGUUGGGGCACGAUGACGCGCGCCAGAUUCGCGAGGCCCUGUUGGAAGCGGCGGUGGUCCACGACGGGCGGCGGGCAGGGCUCUGCGGCGGCGUGGAUGUCCAAGCAGGUGGUGAGGAUGAGGCAGUGCCGGCGGGGUCUGGCGGGCCAGAUCUGGGCGNNNNNNNNNNNNNNNNNNNNNNNNNNNNNNNNNNNNNNNNNNNNNNNNNNNNNNNNNNNNNNNNNNNNNNNNNNNNNNNNNNNNNNNNNNNNNNNNNNNNCCUACCAUAGGGGGAGAUCAUUCAAGGACCUCUUAUCCAUACCUAAGGGGGCGAACAUUCAAUGAGCCCUACACAAUAUCUAAGGGGGAGAAAAGUUAAAUUCAAGGAACCCUUACAAAAGAGAGAAGUAUCCAGGAUCCCUAUCUCUCAAUGAGCCCUUACCCUCUGCCUUUCUUUUUGGUAAUUAUGCCAAAGGGGGAGAAAUAUCAUUAAAUCUUCCAUUCAAUGAACCUACUUAUAGGGGAGACAUAUCAUCAAGAAGGUUAUACAAAAGAGGGAGCAACAACACUAAGGGGAGAUACCGAUAUCAAAUCUUACACGUUAAGGGGGAGAGAGAUAAACAUGGAUUUAUUGGUUUGAACUUAUUUUCCGUGCCUACUGCCAAUAUCUACAUGCUAUGUUUCACAGGGAGAGGAAACUUUACGUAUUUAUCUUUAGGGGAGAAAACUUCUUUGUGGGGACCCCGACUUACGAGUCGAGAUCGCCGUGCUCAGUGAUCCCAGAGAUCAAUGCUCACCGAACACAGAUACCGAAUAAAAGAGUCUUACAUCCAAGUAUCGAUUUAUUACAACACAUGACCGAAGGGUCAAGUUCACAAACAGGGCCUAACGACAAAUCAUACUGAUACAUCUAAUAGCGGAAAUCAUAGGGGCUAAGCGGGUGCCCAUGCCAUCAAGCCUACACCGACAUGCAUUCUGACUCGGAAGCAUCCUAGUUCGUAGGGGCGUCUCCGAAGACGUGCUCAUCUCCAAACUCCGGUCCUUCCAUGUCUGGUCAAUGAUAUAACCAGUGGCAAGCCAUGAGUACUUUUGAAUGUACUCGCAAACAGCCCAUGAUAUGAACAAUGAAAGUGAAGGACGACAAUAACAUGCAUCUUUGGUGGAAUUCAUUUCGUUGGAAUGAUCAUGAAUAUGCAUCAAGUUAAAGAAUUACUUUUGAAUAACAGGUUACAGAUAUCAAUAUAUCUGUCGUGGGCUGAACCAUCCGGGCUCACCCUAUAUGCAAAGUCACCAAACUUGGUCAUAUCAUUACUUUCAUAAUAACUCCUUUUUCAACACCACUCACACACACUUGGUUUAUGCGGAAACAACUGGACGUAGUUUAAGAAGGAUUACCCAACUGUCCUUGACCAUGGACACGACUAUUCGAAUAGUUUUACACUGUGCAGAGGUAGUACGCUGGACCCACGAGAUCCCGGAAACUUCCGCGUCAUCCACGACUCGCGUAUAUAACAUACCCGAGGUAAGUACUCGAUCAAUGCCUUUCCCGUGACGUUACUAGACAAGGAGGUCCACUCGAUUGGUACCCAGCUCACAUGUUGUACGUCUUAUGAGCACCGACUCUGGACAGUAUCAACCAUGCGGGGACCAACGGUGUGCCUGGAACUCAUAAAAAUGGCAUAGUUGUCCUACCUGGCACGACCCCAUCACGAGAGUGACCACACAUCACUCCCGCNNNNNNNNNNNNNNNNNNNNNNNNNNNNNNNNNNNNNNNNNNNNNNNNNNNNNNNNNNNNNNNNNNNNNNNNNNNNNNNNNNNNNNNNNNNNNNNNNNNNGAACGAGCAGCUUUCCUGCAUCAGCCAAACCCCGCCAGGGCCAGCCCACACAGCGCCACAGGCCGCUCGCUCGCUAUGCAUCGAGGACACCAACUGUACGAACGUUGCACCGCCGCCGCAUCCGAUCUCGGCGAAAUCUCCUGGAUGCUCAAGACCUGCAGGCUGCAGCCACCGCUUCUGAUUGCCUUCCAUCCUCUAAAUCAACAGUCUGUCGCCUCUUCGUAACCUUGCUCAUGAUACCACUUGUUAGAAUAAAACCGAGGCACUCCGUCAAUCAUCCGAGGACCAGGCAAUCACACGAGCACGACACCAAGAUUUAUUAACGAGGUUCACCGAUAUGGCUACAUUCCCGAGUCAUGACUACGGGCGCUCCUCCCCGUGACACCGUCACAACACCGCACCCUGGGCGCCUUGGGUACCGACACACGCCGCCGGCUCCCCAUGCACACCUGUGCUAUUAUGUUGGCAUAUGUUACAUCGUGUGUCUACCCCCGCUAUAUAUGAGGGGCCUAGGAUAUAAGUUGUCAUGUUUGGACACGACUCCAUAUCCUAUCUAAACACAAUACAACUACAAGUCCAACUGUAACAUACCUUGUACACAAUAUUCGACACAACUCUAACAUGUGUGAUGGCCGGGACUCCCAUAGUCUAAUAUUUGAUGAUGAUUGUUUGAUCUUCGGGAGAUCAUCCUAGAACAGCUUGGGUUAGUGAAGAUUGAAGAAAAUACCAUUUGCAUCAUGGCUCGAUAAACACCAUGCCCCACGGUGGGCGUCAACUGUCGUGGUAACGAUUUCGACAAUAGAAAUGGGGUAGGAUAAAGGAGCAUGAUCUAUCGGGAUGCAAAUGGGUGACACGGUGGUUUAGCGAGUUCAUGCCUCUCACGGUGGAGAUAACAACCCUACGUCUCGUGCUCCGGAGAGGCUUAGUUUUAUCUGUCAUGGACAUGAGUUACAUGGUAUAGAGAGAGCCAGAGCUCCAGAGAAAGAAUGAGCCCGCAGGCGGAGAAGAAGCUGGUCCUAGCUAUGUGGAGGAGGGUGGCUUAUAUAGAAUGCGCCACCCCCUCACCUCUUAUGUUACAAGAUGAGGCAUUAUGUCAUAAUGUCAGCCCACUACAGAACCUCCUCUAUGCUUCGACUGCCUUGCCGACUGUUGGUAUUUGCAUACCCGAGUGANNNNNNNNNNNNNNNNNNNNNNNNNNNNNNNNNNNNNNNNNNNNNNNNNNNNNNNNNNNNNNNNNNNNNNNNNNNNNNNNNNNNNNNNNNNNNNNNNNNNAACAUAGGAAUGCGUGUGUAUUUGAUCAUGUCACUCCGUCGCUCUCCGAGCUCUCGGAUAGGAUCAAAGAUGAGAUGAGGUGUUGGGCUAGAGCCGGGGACAAGGGGCUUAGGGUAGUCUUGCCCCCAUCCUGGGAUGUCCAUUAAACUACUUGUAACCUGCUGUAAUCGUCUCCUAGGAGGCUGUAACUUCCCUUCUUUUCAAUACAAAGAAACGCAAAUCUCUGCGUUUUCUCGAAAAAAAAAAUCUUCAUACCUAGCCAUGUUAUCUCAUCUAUUUAUUUUUUUGGCCCAUAACUGCUGCAUAUCUGGCUAGGCUUUGUUUGAGAAAAAAGCAAAUCAAUAUAUAGCUUCUACUGAUUAAGAUAUUGGGCAGGUGUGUACACCAGAUGAUGCUUGUAGGAUUGGCAAAAUAGGCGAGCUUUUUGUUUAUGAGAACUUCGGACGCGUUCCAGUUGAAUCUGUUAGUGCUGGUGACAUUUGUGCUGUAUGUGGAAUCAAUGAUAUCAUGGUUGGUGCUCCUCAUGUUCAUUCAUAUAUUUAGUACUCCCUCUGUCCCAAAAUAAGUGACUNNNNNNNNNNNNNNNNNNNNNNNNNNNNNNNNNNNNNNNNNNNNNNNNNNNNNNNNNNNNNNNNNNNNNNNNNNNNNNNNNNNNNNNNNNNNNNNNNNNNCUAGCGGCGCAGGUGCCGGCGGGGUGCGGGCGACCUCGCAGUACGAGCGCGUGCUAACUCAAACAUACAUAGCUUAAUUUCCAUGACAUGGAUUUGAGCAUCUUAGAAUAAAUGUCCUUCCCAUAGAAUGGAUUGAAGCAUCUCAAAGGUAUGCUUAAUCAUAGAUGAAAAUACAACUAUAGUAAAACAAAAUUAGACCCAAUUUAUAGUAUUAUAGCUUAGGAGGUAUUGUGUAAAUGUAAUCCAGCGUAAGUGCAUAACGAUAGCAAAUGAAGCAUUGCAAAUGAUACAUGAAAAUUUGACAUAUAAACGACAAACUUUAUACUCACAAGCAUUUGGAGGGCACCAUCUUUCUCAAUGCGUGGUUCAGGUAUACAUCUAAGAAUAGCCUCAAAAAGGGGUCCAAGAUCAUCAGCCAGAUUAUCCGCGGAGAUCCCAGCCUUUCCUUUGAGGCCAAUUGCAUAGACUGUUUGGAAAUCGCACUAUUGUUGGCAAAAAAAUAACAUGACUACUAGGAUAUGACCAGUGUUAAAACCUAAUACUCAAAAAACUAUAAGUCAAAUGAAAAACAAUCCAGGCAUAGCUCCUCACCUGUUCAUCUGUUGCAUUUAAUUCGAUGAAUAGCUCAAACGUUGAAUUAACUACAAACUCUGGACGAGCAAUAGGUCUGUCAACCUUGUUUACAACUACCACAACAGCAUGUCCAAAUUCUAGAGCUUUCUUCAGAACAAAUCUUGUUUGCGGCAUAGGUCCCUCCACAGAAUCAACCUACAUAGGAGAAAGGCUUAAUGAAUCAGAUGGUCAUUCACAUGUUGCCUCAAGUGACCCUAGACACUAUUUGGAAAAUAUGUUUGACAGGAUCAUGGGAGACAUGUAGUAGAAGAUUGAACAGAUACAGUCAUGCUCAUAGGAAUUCAAAUGUGUGUCCUCAAAAAAGUCGUAGGCAUUAAAUAAGAAACAUGCCAUUUAAUAAAAAGAAAGCAGUAGCUAGUAGCAUAGUACCACUAGGAGAAUUCCUUCCACCAUGUUGAGAACACGUUCCACCUCCCCACCAAAAUCUGAAUGCCCAGGGGUAUCAAUUAUAUUGAUUUUAGUACCCUUAUAGGUUAUGGAUGUAUUUUUGCUCAGUAUAGUAAUUCCUCUUUCCCUCUCCAGAUCAUUAGAGUCCAUUAUCCUUUCCUGCACAACUUGAUUGUCUCGGAAAACCUGCAUAAGGUAAACAGUCAGAGUAAUAAGACAACUGAAAAUUUUAUAUUAAAUACACUCUAGAUUUGUGCUACAACAUGGUGAUUCAACAGAAAUAAGUCACACAGAAAGAAAAUACAUCUGAGCUUAGCUGUUAAUACUACUAAAGCCUGCAAUUUUGUGUCACAACUCACAACACAUUAGUUUUGACUCACACAGGAUAGGAGAUAAACUGAAGAAUGACACAACAAACAAAAGUAACCCAGAUAUUUUGUGGAGAAAACCCACACAACCAAAAAUAAGUAGGUAUGCACAACAGUUUCAGGCGGGUGACUGAGUGAUAUAGGAAUAGCCUCCACAGCACCUACGGGACUCUAAACAACCAUCACUCAAACCAGUUCUAUGAACCUAACAGACUGAACAAGAGUAAAGACAAUAAUUUAGAGCCCAUACAAACAAAGCGAAAGCAACCCACCAAGACCAGACCAAAAAAUCAGUUCUAUAUUAAACUAACAAACCAAACAAGAACAAACUUCAAGGAAUCAAACGGAACAAAAAUAGGGCAAUAUGUGGGAAGAGCUUGUCUUAUACUAUUUGCAUAAGUGUAUGCUUGCCUCCUAAGUAAAGCUUCCAUCACUGAGAAAUGCAAUUCGUAGCCAACUUACUUGGAGUAAAUUAGCCUCACAGAGAAAAACAUAGUACUGCUGGGAUGUACCUUGGAUUGUCUUAACAUUGAAUCCACCAAAGUUGUCUUCCCAUGAUCAACAUGAGCAACAAUUGCAAUAUUUCUUACAUCUCUUCUAGUUGCUUGACUACUCGUCCCUGCUGAAUAAUCCAGUGAAGUAUAUAAAUUAGCAUCAUCCAAAAAGAAGUGAAGUGAAUAUACGUAGGAAAAUUUCAUGGAGAACACUUUUGAAACAAUAAGCAGUGGGCUCAGAACGUAGCAAGUCAAACUCUUCUUUUUCAAAACUAAAGUACCAGGUGAAANNNNNNNNNNNNNNNNNNNNNNNNNNNNNNNNNNNNNNNNNNNNNNNNNNNNNNNNNNNNNNNNNNNNNNNNNNNNNNNNNNNNNNNNNNNNNNNNNNNNUCGAUCAUCACGUGGUGUCUCGAAACGAAGAACUAUCGCAACGGUGCACAGUAGGGGCGAACAUAAUUUCGUCUUAAAAUUUUAGUGAGAGAUCACCUCAUAAUGCUACCGUCGUUCUAAGCAAAAUAAUUUGCAUAAAGGAUUAACAUCACAUGCAAUGCAUAAGUGACAUGAUAUGGCCAUCAUCUUGUGCUUCUUGAUCUCCAUCACCAAAGCACCGGCACGAUCUUCUUGUCACCGGCGCCACACCAUGAUCUCCAUCAUCGUGAUCUCCAUCAACAUGUCACCAUCGAGGUUGUCGGGCUACUUAUGCUAUUACUACUAAAGCUACGUCCUAGCAAUAUAGUAAACGCAUCUGCAAACACAAACGUUAGUUUAAAGACAACCCUAUGGCUCCUGUCAGUUGCAGUACCAUCGACGUGAAAGUCGAUAUUAACUAUUACAACAUGAUCAUCUCAUACAUCCAAUAUAUCACAUCACGUCAUUGGCCAUAUCAUAUCACAAGCAUACCCAACAAGUUAGACAUCCUCUAAUUUGUUGUUGCAUGUUGUACGUGGCUGCUAUGGGUAUCUAGUAUGAUCGCAUCUUACUUACGCAAAAAACCACAAGGAAGAUGUGCAAAUUGCUAUUUAACCUCUCCAAGGACCGCCUCGGUCAAAACCAAUUCAACUAAAGUUGAAGAAACCGACACCCGUCAGUCAUCUUUACGCAACGAGGUUGCAUGUCAAUCAAUGAAACCAGUCUUUCGUAAGCGUACGAAUAAUGUCGGUCUGGGCCGCUUCAAUUCAACAAUAUCGGCGAAUCGAUAAAACACUAAGGAGGGCAGCAAAUCGAACAUCAUCGUCCACAAAACCCUUUGUAUUCUACUCGAGAUAACAUCUACGCAUGAACCUAGCUCAUGAUGCCACUNNNNNNNNNNNNNNNNNNNNNNNNNNNNNNNNNNNNNNNNNNNNNNNNNNNNNNNNNNNNNNNNNNNNNNNNNNNNNNNNNNNNNNNNNNNNNNNNNNNNGUCACUCGUCCGGAUAUCUCUUAUCCGGUUCAUAUUCUGAGUCAGUUCGUCUCUGCUCCCACAUCGGUUCACUAUAGUCAUCUCCUUCGUGUUCUCUGAUAUCUUCGGGGCACGAUCUCUCACCGUCUAUUCUUUCCUCGCUCCAGUUCUUUACAGCUUCAGGCCUAUUCAGAUGCUACGUGGGCUAGUGAUCCUUCAGAUCGCUGUUCCCUUUCUGCUUACUGUUUUUUUCUUGAUGGUUCUCUCAUUGCCUGGAAGACGAAGAAACAGAUUGCAGUUUCCCUUUCGAGUGUAGAGGCUGAGUUGCGAGCGAUGGCUCUUUUGACGGCAGAGGUGACUUGGUUACGGUGGUUACUUCAGGAUUUUGGUGUUUCUGUCACUACAUCGACUCUUUUCUUAUCUGACAGUAUAGGUGCUAUUAGCAUUGCGCGCGAUCCUGUGAAGCAUGAGCUCAUGAAGCAUAUUGGUGUUGAUGCUUUCUAUGUGCGCGCUGCUGUGCAGGAUCAGGUUGUUGCUCUUCAGUAUGUGCCUUCCGAGUUACAGUUGACGGAUUUCCUGACGAAGGCCCAGACUACAGCUCAACAUGGCUUUUAUCUCUCCAAACUCAGUGUUGUUCACCCACCAUGAGUUUGAGGGGGGGGUGUUAGAGUUAUAAUAUAAGUCAUGUAUCCUUUUGUAUUUAUCCCAAUAUAUAAGGGGUUUCCUGCAUAUAGUCCANNNNNNNNNNNNNNNNNNNNNNNNNNNNNNNNNNNNNNNNNNNNNNNNNNNNNNNNNNNNNNNNNNNNNNNNNNNNNNNNNNNNNNNNNNNNNNNNNNNNAGGAUCAGUCCGGACAUCAGGAAAAUCAUCCACAAGUUCAUCAUGAGUCGCUGCUCAGUCUUUGUCAAGUUCUGGGACAGAGGUGCUCAUACCAAACACCUCAGCUGCUUUAGGAGCAGAAGACAAGUUGCCAGUUUUCCUUUUCUUUGCUUGUGCUCUGAGAUGAAAAGACACCAAGAUAGGACAGGUAUCAGUAUUGGGAAGGAAAAAUGUUAGUAAAAGAACUUACCCCUGUACACGAAUCAUUAGGGGGAGAGCCGACAUUACUGAGUCACCAGAUGAAGGAGGAGAAACCUGAUGGACAAGAAUUCAAGGAGUGAACGAACGGCGAGCAACAUUUUUCACAAGGGAAAGGUGCUAGUAGGAGUAUACCUCACUUUGCCGUUUUUGACCAGUUGUCUUUUCGGGUAACCCAUAAACUAAGUCGCCGGAAUGGCUUCGGGUAUGACGUUUGGGGGUAUACCUCGCCUUCUUCAAAAGGAAAUUGGGGUCCACCUGAGCAUUUGGGUGAGACAUGGGAACUUUUGCACACAUCCGCCUGGCCAACUUGGGAGAAGAAGAAGUUGAGUCGGAAGAAAUAGAAAUUACCUCGACAGCGUCAUCUUGGCUAUCAUAGUCAUCAUACUAUGAAUGAAGGUAACGGGGCAUAAGCAUAAGUCAGAAUAUAGUGAUAACAAACAAGAGGGUAAACUUUUACCUUUGAUUGUUCUUCGCCGGCUCGAGACUCGCCAACGACAGAUGACUCCUUGGCGGCGGCUUUGCCCUUGCUCUUCUUUUUCUUCUUAGGAGGCGGCUUGGUUGCUUUCUGGACAGUCACUUUGGGCCUUCGAGACCAAAAUGCAGAUCCUUUCUGAUUGAUAUAAUGACAGUUCAAAUCUGGAACAUUGGUGAAUAUAUUGAAAGAAUAAAAGAAGGCGACUUAGGUUGUUACCACGGGAGCCGGGUUGGAGAGGCAGAAAGGCUUGAGCCCAAUCUUGGUGCAGUUCUCUAAAGGCACGCUCGUUAACUUCUUGAUCAUUUCAACAAUGUCUUCUUCAGUAAGUCUUGUAUGGAAGAAACAUUGGGGGUGAUCCAAGCUACCAUCAUACUCACACAUCAGGCCAUCCCGGCGACUCAAAGGCAGAAUCCUCCACUCCACUCAACAACGGACUAGGUCAAUCCCAAUAAGCCCAUUGUUGGUCAAAGACCUUAGCUGGGAGAAAGCAGGGAUAAAGGUUGAUUCUUCUUCUUUAGUUAGUUUUUCUGGCAGCUUGAAAUCCAUGGGCAAGCGCUCUUCUCUGAAACCCGGAAGUGGGUUCUCGUUGGGAGGAGAUGUGUCACGGCAAUAGAACCAAGACUCUGCCCAGCCUUUGGGAUGGUUGGGUAGAACGACAGGUGGGAACCCACAUUCGCGACGUCGUUGGAUGUUAACCCCCCCCCCCAAGUUCCAAGCAAGGCCUGCUNNNNNNNNNNNNNNNNNNNNNNNNNNNNNNNNNNNNNNNNNNNNNNNNNNNNNNNNNNNNNNNNNNNNNNNNNNNNNNNNNNNNNNNNNNNNNNNNNNNNUGAGCCACCACGGAGCGUCGCUGGGCGCGCACACCUUAACCGUGAUCGCGUUUUGGGUGAAUAGGGAGUCGGAGAUGGUGACAGCCCUACUCUUCCAAGCGAUAAGAAUACCGCCGCGGGUGCCGUCGGCCGGGAGGUAUGAAGAUUACAAUGAUGGUUUCUAAUUAUUAAGAUUGCAAUUACCUUUGGCAGAGAAAACUAAAUUUCAAGUACUACCAAUAGCUAGUCUACCGUCAUUAUUAAGGGGCUCUUUGAUUAUAAGGAAUUCCAUAGGUAUUUUGAAGGAUUGGCCGUUUGAUACAUAGGAUUGAAUCCUAUAGGGUUUUUUCCUAAGGAUUCCUUUGUACUACAUUCCAUAGGAAUUUUAGCAUCCACUCAAACCUCUUGGAAAGAAUCCUUUGUUUUUCCUGUGAUGCAAUCGAACAAACAAAAAUCAUGUAGGAUUCAAAUGGGCAUGACACUGCAAUCAUAUGGUUUUCCUAUUCAUAUGGUAUUAAAAUCCUGGAAAUCAAAGAGGCCCUAACAUAUUUAGUUUAAAAAACUAUAGACUGGAAUGUUUUUUCAUUAACCGAGAUUUGUAAUAGUUGCUCACAUAUAUGCACCAUAUGGGGAGCCAAUGAGAAAGGUGUGCAUUAACUGGGCUUCCAAAGAAGACCUAGAGCUUACUCAGAACUGGAAAUACUAAAAUGGUUGCAUGAUCUUAUAUAGUUGGUAUACUCUCUUAAUACCUCCACAAACCUUAGCAUUGAUAAAAAGAAGGUAACCUUAAAAAAUAUAAGACUGAGACAUGUUGGUACUAAUAAAAGCUGCUCUAUAUUCCAUAGUCAUGAAAAGAAAUUCAUCUGCUUUGAGGCGUCAAUUAGGUAACAUUUUUCCAUAAAAUACAUCUACUGAGACAGCAUAUACCACCUUAUCAUAAUUUAUUUAUUUUCCACAAAUUCACUCAGUGCCAUCACAAUUGCCUUGAGUUGGAACAUAGCAUAACAAAGAAGGUUGAUUUCACUAUGCUAUUGUUAGAGUGCGUGAUGGGCCUGGGCCCGUUAGUCUUAGGGUUUGCUUGGGGGUCAAGUAAGCCUUACUUGAAAGUCAAGUAAACCUCUCUAUAUAUGGAGAGGAGACGUAUCAAUCUAAGCAGGCAAGAAUUAAGAAGGAAACCCCUUUUCCCUCUUGCCCGGCCGUGGGAAAGGACCCCACGGCCGGCUCNNNNNNNNNNNNNNNNNNNNNNNNNNNNNNNNNNNNNNNNNNNNNNNNNNNNNNNNNNNNNNNNNNNNNNNNNNNNNNNNNNNNNNNNNNNNNNNNNNNNGAAAAAUGACUGAGUGUUUUGGUGGCUAACUUUGAGCAUUUGAGCAAUCAGUUCAUUUUACUACCUCGCCCCCUUUUAAUAGUAUUGGCUUUCCUAUGGACUCAAAAGUGAUUUCUCACAAAUAUAAAAUGAAGAGUCUUCUAGCUUGAAGCUUGAGCCAAUAUUAUUCCUUUCUUGCAUCCAGGGGCAUCUCCACAUAGACCUUAGGCCAUAACUCUUCAUGGACUAAACCUGAAAUAUCUAGGUAAAAGUGUUAGUCCAAGAGGCAAUGUAUGUUGUCAUGAAUUAUCAAAAUCACCAAGGGAGCAUAUGUGCUUUCAAUCUCCCCCUUUUUGGUAAUUAUGACAACAUACAAUCAAAGCUUCAAAUAAAGAUACUCAUAGGGAUAUGACAACUUUGACAGACAUAUGACUAGUACAAGCUCCCCCUAAAUGUGUGCAAUCCCUUUAAAGGAUAGUUGCUUUGGAAUGCAUGGGCACACACAAGGUAGAAGGACAAGACAAGCCAUAUGGAUCUUGGCUAUAUGCAUCAAACAUAUGUGAAUGAAGAACUUCCAUGUUCAAGACUCCCUCUUGGAAACAAUAUGUGUAAGAGACAAGAGGUCACCAUGAACAAGGAUAUGAUGCAUAUACUUACCUUGAGGAUCUUGAGCGUCUUGAAUAGGAGUACACUUGGGAAAACAAAUGUUAGAUAACACAAUAGUACCCUAUUGUAAAGAUGCAAAGAACUUCAAAAGUACCAAGAAAUUAAAGAAAUAUGUCUUUAAUAAACAAGAAUGUAACACCCUGUUUUACCACCACUUCCCUGUAAUGCAAAAAUCUGAUCUUGUUAAAACUUUUCAAAAUUAAUGUUGUGAGUGCCAUGGUUGUCAUUGUAUGCUUGUGUGUUUGAUCAUGUGAUGAUAAACCCCCAUUUCACAAAUAUUGGAUUAUUUUCAAAACCUUCUUUUGUUUCAGAUCAAGGUAAAACCCUACUUUGAGUUGCACUACUUGCCCUUGAUGGCAAGGUUGGUUUCUACCCAAAGUUGGUGAUCUGAUUUUUAACUUAUUUUAGUAUUUCAAAACCAGAAAAUAAUUAUUUUUAGAGCUGUUUCCUAAUUUAAUUGCAUGUCUAUUUCUCAGGCCAGAAAUAGUAAUCGUUCAUGGAAAAAAUACUUUUCUGCCUUAGAAAAAUCUGAUUAAAUUUGGUGAUGAUCAGAAGGACAUAUAUUUUCCAUACAUAAGAUUUUUAACCCUAUUUUAUAUUAUAAUUAUUUGAAUAAAACCCUGGAACAUUUCUGUCUGUUUUGACCUUUUGAAAUAUUUCCAAAGGAAAUAUUCCCAAUAAAAUCCUAGAAAAUUCGAGUGGUAUCCCUAAGCCACAUUUGGUGUCCACAUACAGUUUCACCUAGAUCCAANNNNNNNNNNNNNNNNNNNNNNNNNNNNNNNNNNNNNNNNNNNNNNNNNNNNNNNNNNNNNNNNNNNNNNNNNNNNNNNNNNNNUCCACAUACAGUUUCACCUUGAUCCAAG
RNAcentral lists this long non-coding RNA (23696 nucleotides) under Hordeum vulgare. RNAcentral describes it as "long non-coding RNA (HVUL_LNC018440)". The record is from RNAcentral. Lineage: Eukaryota; Viridiplantae; Streptophyta; Magnoliopsida; Poales; Poaceae.